This 254-nucleotide ribosomal RNA is filed under the name uncultured bacterium. RNAcentral describes it as "partial 16S ribosomal RNA". It matches the Rfam family "Bacterial small subunit ribosomal RNA", at positions 524 to 776 of the family's 1533-position model. The record is from RNAcentral.
UACGGAGGGUGCAAGCGUUAUCCGGAUUCACUGGGUUUAAAGGGUGCGUAGGUGGGUCUGUAAGUCCGUGGUGAAAUCUCCGAGCUUAACUUGGAAACUGCCAUGGAUACUAUAGGUCUUGAAUACUGUGGAGGUCAGCGGAAUAUGUCAUGUAGCGGUGAAAUGCUUAGAUAUGACAUAGAACACCAAUUGCGAAGGCAGCUGGCUACACAAAUAUUGACACUGAUGCACGAAAAGCGUGGGGAUCAAACAGG